Molecule: ribosomal RNA, 292 nt
Filed under: uncultured bacterium
Lineage: Bacteria
Description: partial 16S ribosomal RNA
Rfam family: Bacterial small subunit ribosomal RNA
Source: RNAcentral
GUGUCAGCAGCCGCGGUAAUACGUAGGGUGCGAGCGUUAAUCGGAAUUACUGGGCGUAAAGCGUGCGCAGGCGGUUUCGUAAGACAGGUGUGAAAGCCCCGGGCUUAACCUGGGAAUUGCGCUUGUGACUGCGAGGCUGGAGUGCGGCAGAGGGAGGUGGAAUUCCACGUGUAGCAGUGAAAUGCGUAGAGAUGUGGAGGAACACCGAUGGCGAAGGCAGCCUCCUGGGCUAGCACUGACGCUCAUGCACGAAAGCGUGGGGAGCAAACAGGAUUAGAUACCCUUGUAGUCC